AGUUCUAAGAGAUGUCUCAAUCCAGAGGUUUGGAAAUUGAGCCUUUCAAGAAUCACAGCGUGUAGGUCUUGGGAAGGACCUAGAGAUGAUGCUGUCUAGAUUUCCCCAGCCUUCUCUUUGAACUUGACCUUCAACCGCUGGAUCUUGAACCAGAAAACAGUUGAAAGGACAUAGUGGAGACAGCGUGGGAUCAAGCAUGAAGACUGAGCUAUGUGCUGACGAGGACUUUCACCUGGGAGAAGAGCUCAUUCUUCCUAUCGUUUCCCUGGGAAGAACAUGGCUGAAACAACUUACUGUACAGACCACAGAAGUGAGACCAAAAACACUGAGAUGAGGAAGAGGUGUGGCAAAAUGGCUUUGUUGUGGUGGAAGAUGAAUUGUCGUCUCAAGGGGGCAGAGGACUGCCUGUGAGCUUCCUUAACAUGGAGCCCGAAACCGGUGUUUGCACAGUCCUUGAGGAAAGGGUUUGCUCAGCAAAUUAACAGUGUGAACAAGACUGCAGGAGGGACCAUUUACCUACCUGAGAACAAACUGUUUUCUAGCUCUUCAGCAGCACCACUUACGCACAAUUUUCAUGUGCUAAUGGCAAGUGAUUAUUACCUAGUUAGUGAAUAUACGUGGAAGACAUAAAAUAGCCUUUACUAUCCCCUGGUUGAGACAACUCGCUAACUCAGACUUGCCAGGUGCUCUGAAUUAGAGAGGUGCUACAGGAAUGUCCUCUCGGAUUUUUGGCGUUGAGCAUGCAUGCAUGUGAGCAGGGUGCCAUUUCUUCAGAAGAAAAAUAAAUGACAACAUUCUGUUUUGGGGCUUGAAACUGCAUGACUGAAAACAUAAAGGUGACAACUGUGAUAUGCUUUUUUAAUGAGGGCAGAGAUGUCAAGAGAAACCAGCCUUCUAGGAACAAAAGAAUACUCUGUCAGGUGCAGUGGACUUAAGACCUUUUUCUCUCUUGGAAUAAUGUCCUUAAAAAUAAC
RNAcentral lists this long non-coding RNA (974 nucleotides) under Homo sapiens (human). RNAcentral describes it as "MIR4432 host gene (MIR4432HG)". Lineage: Eukaryota; Metazoa; Chordata; Mammalia; Primates; Hominidae. The record is from RNAcentral.